This 387-nucleotide ribosomal RNA is filed under the name uncultured bacterium. Its description in RNAcentral is "bacterial SSU rRNA". It matches the Rfam family "Bacterial small subunit ribosomal RNA", at positions 28 to 412 of the family's 1533-position model. The record is from RNAcentral.
GAUGAACGCUGGCGGCGUGCUUAACACAUGCAAGUCGAACGAUGAUCUCCAGCUUGCUGGGGGGAUUAGUGGCGAACGGGUGAGUAACACGUGAGUAACCUGCCCUUAACUCUGGGAUAAGCCUGGGAAACUGGGUCUAAUACCGGAUAUGACUCCUCAUCGCAUGGGUGGGGGGUGAAAGUCUUUUUGUGGUUUUGGAUGGACUCGCGGCCUAUCAGCUUGUUGGUGAGGUAAUGGCUCACCAAGGCGACGACGGGUAGCCGGCCUGAGAGGGUGACCGGCCACACUGGGACUGAAACACGGGCCAGACUCCUACGGGAGGCAGCAGGUGGGGAAUCUUGCACAAUGGAGGCAACUCUGAUGCAGCGACGCCGCGUGAGCGAUGAA